GACGAACGCUGGCGGCGUGCUUAACACAUGCAAGUCGAACGGAAAGGCCCUGCUUUUGUGGGGUGCUCGAGUGGCGAACGGGUGAGUAACACGUGAGUAACCUGCCCUUGCCUUUGGGAUAACUUCAGGAAACUGGGGCUAAUACCGGCUAGGAGCUCCUGCUUCAUGGUGGGGGUUGGAAAGUUUCGGCGGUUGGGGAUGGACUCGCGGCUUAUCAGCUUGUUGGUGGGGUAGUGGCUUACCAAGGCUUUGACGGGUAGCCGGCCUGAGAGGGUGACCGGCCACAUUGGGACUGAGAUGAGGCCCAGACUCCUACGGGAGGCAGCAGUGGGGAAUAUUGCACAAUGGGCGGAAGCCUGAUGCAGCAACGCCGCGUGCGGGAUGACGGCCUUCGGGUUGUAAACCGCUUUCGCCUGUGACGAAGCGUGAGUGACGGUAAUGGGUGAAGAAGCACCGGCUAACUACGUG
RNAcentral lists this ribosomal RNA (468 nucleotides) under uncultured bacterium. RNAcentral describes it as "partial 16S ribosomal RNA". It matches the Rfam family "Bacterial small subunit ribosomal RNA", at positions 28 to 507 of the family's 1533-position model. The record is from RNAcentral.